RNAcentral lists this ribosomal RNA (423 nucleotides) under uncultured Arsenophonus sp. RNAcentral describes it as "bacterial SSU rRNA". It matches the Rfam family "Bacterial small subunit ribosomal RNA", at positions 355 to 794 of the family's 1533-position model. The record is from RNAcentral. Lineage: Bacteria; Pseudomonadati; Pseudomonadota; Gammaproteobacteria; Enterobacterales; Morganellaceae.
UGGGGAAUAUUGCACAAUGGGCGAAAGCCUGAUGCAGCGACGCCGCGUGAGCGAUGAAGUAUUUCGGUAUGUGAAGCUCUAUCAGCAGGGAAGAAGAAUGACGGUACCUGACUAAGAAGCACCGGCUAAAUACGUGCCGGCAGCCGCGGUAAUACGGAGGGUGCGAGCGUUAAUCGGAAUGACUGGGCGUAAAGGGCACGCAGGUGGCGAGAUAAGUUGGAUGUGAAAUUCCCGUGCUUAACAUGGGGACUGCAUCCAAAACUGUUGAACUGGAGUACUGUAGAGGGAGGUAGAAUUCCACGUGUAGCGGUGAAAUGCGUAGAGAUGUGGAAGAAUACCAGAGGCGAAGGCGGCCUCCUGGACAGAUACUGACACUGAGGUGCGAAAGCGUGGGUAGCAAACAGGAUUAGAUACCCUGGUAGU